GCCUCUGUAGCUCAGUUGGUUAGAGCGGUGCACAGGAAUCGCAGAGUCGCAGGACGUUCGGUUCCUGUCCGGCGGCU
Molecule: non-coding RNA, 77 nt
Organism: Paramuricea clavata
Lineage: Eukaryota; Metazoa; Cnidaria; Anthozoa; Malacalcyonacea; Plexauridae
Source: the annotation of a GenBank genome assembly